Molecule: ribosomal RNA, 253 nt
Filed under: uncultured bacterium
Lineage: Bacteria
Description: partial 16S ribosomal RNA
Rfam family: Bacterial small subunit ribosomal RNA
Source: RNAcentral
UACGAAGGGGGCUAGCGUUGCUCGGAAUUACUGGGCGUAAAGGGCGCGUAGGCGGAUACUUAAGUCGGGGGUGAAAGCCCGGGGCUCAACCUCGGAAUUGCCUUCGAUACUGGGUAUCUUGAGUUCGGGAGAGGUGGGUGGAAUGCCGAGUGUAGAGGUGAAAUUCGUAGAUAUUCGGCGGAACACCAGUGGCGAAGGCGACUCACUGGACACAUAUUGACGCUGAGGUGCGAAAGCGUGGGGAGCAAACAGG